This 711-nucleotide long non-coding RNA is filed under the name Drosophila guanche. Lineage: Eukaryota; Metazoa; Arthropoda; Insecta; Diptera; Drosophilidae. The record is from RNAcentral.
GUGAGCCGCAACCCGCAACCCGCAUGCCGCUUGCCAACCCACCGCCUGAAGCUUGGCUUUUCCACACACAACCACAGAUCUACAGAUCAGCACCACCCCCCACUGCUGCUGGUGCCGAUUAGCACGAUCGAUACUCAUUGAUUGCAGCGUUUGGGAGAGGGAAAACCCGUUCCACAUUGGCUUCCAGUUCCAGUUCCAGCGUCAGUCUCAGUCUCAGUCUCAGUCGCGCUUCCAUGUACGAGCGCACAAUAAUUAUUCAGCUACGUACUGCAUAUUAUGUACAUACUUACGCACUCUCGUACAUAUGUACAUACAUACAUUUGCACAUGGACUUAUUGUUGAUUCUGUUGCAGUUGGCCGCUAUCAGGCCAUAAAGUGCAUGAUUAGAUUCUCGAUCCAGUGAUACGAGUACUCUGGCUGCAAGUGUAGGGUGUAAUGUGAAUGCCGCCUCUUUUUUUCCCGAAUCUUUCCAUCCAGAAUAGUUCCCAGACAUUUUGCCAGCCACAACCCCUUCGACGUUUCUCCAUUGGUGGCAUUUCCAGGCCGCAGUUAAGAAAUCCCCCGACGACACAGCUACAAAAACCCAGAGCACGAAUAUACUUAAUAACCAUCUAUAGAUGCUUAUCAAUAUCAUAAUUAUUGUGCAAUAAAUGUAAACAGCAGUCUUUGCGGACUGCUGUUCGAUUUGCUGUAUGUAAAAAUAUGUAAAAU